This 366-nucleotide ribosomal RNA is filed under the name uncultured bacterium. Its description in RNAcentral is "bacterial SSU rRNA". It matches the Rfam family "Bacterial small subunit ribosomal RNA", at positions 355 to 736 of the family's 1533-position model. The record is from RNAcentral.
UGGGGAAUAUUGGGCAAUGGGGGCAACCCUGACCCAGCGACGCCGCGUGAGGGAAGACGGCCUUCGGGUUGUAAACCUCUUUUGUACGGGAAGAAGGAAGUGACGGUACUGUACGAAUAAGUCCCGGCUAACUACGUGCCAGCAGCCGCGGUAAUACGUAGGGGACGAGCGUUGUCCGGAAUUACUGGGCGUAAAGGGCGCGCAGGCUGUGCUGCAAGUCAGCUGUGAAAUGUCUGGGCUUAACCCGGGCAUGCGGUUGAGACUGCAGUGCUGGAGUGCUGUAGAGGCAAGUGGAAUUCCCAGUGUAGCGGUGAAAUGCGUAGAUAUUGGGAAGAACACCGGUGGCGAAGGCGACUUGCUGGGCAG